Beta vulgaris subsp. vulgaris (sugar beet) is the source of this 485-nucleotide long non-coding RNA. RefSeq lists it as uncharacterized. The record is from RefSeq and is a predicted model, not a curated record. The transcript has 4 exons. Lineage: Eukaryota; Viridiplantae; Streptophyta; Magnoliopsida; Caryophyllales; Amaranthaceae.
UUUCCAUCUUCUUCACUAGCCACCAUUUCUCAAAAAGGAGAAGAUCUUGCAAUUAUCAAAGGGAAGCAAAGAGGUUUCAAGAAUAAUUAAAGCCAGUCAAACUUUUGACUGUUGAUUUUUGUGUAAUCAAGAGUUUAGAGAAGAAGUUGCAGGUACAAGUUCUUGAUGUGCAUGGAAAUCAUAAGCAUCCGGAUGGGAGUUUUAGUACACGAGUACUUUCUUAAUAAAGUUAUUUUGAAUUUAUGUUUGACUUUACUUGACCACUGGGGUCAAGGUUUGACUCGUUUUGAAGAUGGGACUAGUAUGGGAUAGUCUCCGAGUUUGUAACUCAAUUAUAUACUUUCUUAUUUCAGUUGUAUUAAAGUAUUUUCAGUUUAUUUUAAAAGACUUCCGCUGUAUUAUCUGAUUAGCCUUACGUAUUAUCAUGCGUGGCAUAACAACUCCCGCAAUUUCUCCUAGUUUGUAAAAGGAGGAGUCGUGGGGGU